GUGCCAGCAGCCGCGGUAAUACGGAGGGGGCUAGCGUUGUUCGGAAUUACUGGGCGUAAAGCGCACGUAGGCGGCGAUUUAAGUCAGAGGUGAAAGCCCGGGGCUCAACCCCGGAACUGCCUUUGAGACUGGAUUGCUAGAAUCAUGGAGAGGUGAGUGGAAUUCCGAGUGUAGAGGUGAAAUUCGUAGAUAUUCGGAAGAACACCAGUGGCGAAGGCGGCUCACUGGACAUGUAUUGACGCUGAGGUGCGAAAGCGUGGGGAGCAAAACAGGAUUAGAUACCCUGGUAGUCC
This 293-nucleotide ribosomal RNA is filed under the name uncultured microorganism. RNAcentral describes it as "partial 16S ribosomal RNA". It matches the Rfam family "Bacterial small subunit ribosomal RNA", at positions 505 to 796 of the family's 1533-position model. The record is from RNAcentral.